AUUGAACGCUGGCGGCAUGCCUUACACAUGCAAGUCGAACGGCAGCACGGGUGCUUGCACCUGGUGGCGAGUGGCGAACGGGUGAGUAAUACAUCGGAACAUGUCCUGUAGUGGGGGAUAGCCCGGCGAAAGCCGGAUUAAUACCGCAUACGAUCUACGGAUGACAGCGGGGGACCUUCGGGCCUCGCGCUAUAGGGUUGGCCGAUGGCUGAUUAGCUAGUUGGUGGGGUAAAGGCCAACCAAGGCGACGAUCAGUAGCUGGUCUGAGAGGACGACCGGCCACACUGGGACUGAGACACGGCCCAGACUCCUACGGGAGGCAGCAGUGGGGAAUGUUGGACAAUGGGCGAAAGCCUGAUCCAGCAAUGCCGCGUGUGUGAAGAAGGCCUUCGGGUUGUAAAGCACUUUUGUCCGGAAAGAAAUCCUUGGCCCUAAUACGGUCGGGGGAUGACGGUACCGGAAGAAUAAGCACCGGCUAACUACGUG
RNAcentral lists this ribosomal RNA (486 nucleotides) under uncultured bacterium. RNAcentral describes it as "partial 16S ribosomal RNA". It matches the Rfam family "Bacterial small subunit ribosomal RNA", at positions 29 to 507 of the family's 1533-position model. The record is from RNAcentral.